UCCCAUUUUUAUUUGGACUUUUCUGUUGGUAAUUGUGAUCAUUGUUAUGUAAGUGUUCUUCACCUUAAGUUAAAGUACACUUAUUUAGAUUUGUUCAUUGUAAUUUUUGAGAGAAAGCAAGUUCGAAGGUUUCCAAACUGAGCCGUUCCCUUUUUAUCAUUGUUUGCCGUAUAUCACUUUUGAUAGAGGUUUUGAAUAAUGCUUAUGUAUUUAAAUGAACUUCAGGCUGACAUUAAUAUUGCCACUUUUUUAGAAUGUAACGAUAGGAACAUUUUUAUACCAUCAUGGUUAUUGUGACCAAAAUUAUCACAAUUAUUAUCACACUAUUGUUCAUUGUGCUAUAAAAGUAUUUACACAACACUUACCGUAAAUCUAGUCUACCCUAACAAUUCUGACUCAAUACGCGAUAUGAGUCCAACCGAUUUUCGCAAUAUUUUUUGAAUAUAUAAAACCUUUUCAAAACUUUCCUUGGCUGCUGAUGUAUGAUGUAUACGUGCAGCACGUAAGCAGGACGAUGGCCAAAAAACAUCUUAAAAAUUGAUUAUUAAAGAUAGAUUCUUGAAAAUUAUGAAUGUAUUUAUAAUCUGAAUAAUUAAGAAUUGCUAUUCAGAUGUGAAUCUAUUUUUUCAUGUGCUUUGUAUUCAAUCUUGCAUGUAAGCUAGUUAGCGAUUAGUGUACGAGCUACUUCUCCAGAAAAUGAGCAGCACCACUGUAAACAUUUUUCAAAGUGUGGUUUUAUUAUAAAUACAGUUAGAAAUGGUAACACUAAUCAUCAAGAAUAGGACCGCUGUUGCAUUCCUUUUCAUAGCUUUAAGAUAACUUAGCAGUUAUUCAUACACUCUGUAGUUAACAUCCUGACUUGCAACUUCAAUUCUUCUGGCUGCUUAGUUCAUUUUCCUUGUCUUAGGCGGAUGUAGGUAGAUUCCUCUUGACCUCCUAAAAGUGUUUAGUGGACAUGGAGCCAGUUAGCUUAAGAUUACGCGACCUCUCCUUGGCCGUCAUUCUGCUGGCAGCUUGCCAGAGAUAAUUAAAGGUUUAGACAGGCGUUUACUGUUAAGUGAAACGUGAACGUUUAUUCUGGAGUUUAAUGACGUAUGCACUUGGCUUCCUCUUACUGCCGGUUUGAGCACCCAAUAAGCGUGUGUGUGUGUGUGUGUGGUUAUUGGUCCACAUAUGCCAAUCGAGUAAUAGGGGACAAUUCCUGGGUGCUACUAUUUGGUGAAGUACUUCAGUCUUUUCCAUGUUGAUAGUUAGACCCAGUUGUUUGACUGAUUUCAUCAACACUGUAGGUCUUCUUUCAAGAGGUCGUAUUGUGUAAAUAUGGUGGUGAUUCAACCUUUUGGCCCAAAUCUGUUGUGGAGACAUUGCCUGAUGGUUUUGAACAUAAUUUCCACUUCUGGAGUUCGAUGUAUAGUCUUGGUGUAGUGACUCCAGUGUCUACCCUGAAAGGCUCUGUUUCAUCUCCACUGCUAUUGAGUACUGUGGUAGACAUGUUGUCAUGCAGCAGUUGCAGGGCACAAAUAUACUUUCCCGGGCAGCUUUCCCAGAAUUAGUCCGAAGGCUUGACGGUUCCCUGUGUCAAAAAGCUUUGUUGAGGCCUUUAAAAGCCUUGUACUGUGGUUGACUUUUCUGACAUUUUUCUUCCAAUUUGCAAGCAGUAUAAAACAUGUCUGUCAUGCCUCAGGGCAGAAUCCUCAGGUACUCGGUAAAAAUACUUUCUUACAGGGAGGUUAGCAUGUUAACUGAAAAUACAGCUAACCCUUGCUUUGUGGUGAAUAGAAGGGAUGCUUCACUUAUUCCAAUAUUGUGCCUAGCCUUUAAAGAUGCGCAUCCCUGAGUCGUGCGGAACAUGUUCCUUCUUUCCAGGGUUUGAGAAUUAAGCAGUGGCGUACAGUGCUCUUACAGCAUCUACAAAACUGCUUGUUUCUACAAAAUUAGUGAAAUGCUAGGUCUCAGAGCCUUCUUCGAACACGACAGGUUCUCCAGUUUCCUACAAUCCUUGGCAUAGAAUAUUUAUUCUUUUAACCUUACAUUGUAUGUUGUUUGUUCAGGUGAUAAAAGUUUGAACAGUUUUUAGAAUAUUCCAAUGUCGUUUGAAUUCUGUUUUGGCAGUUCUGCACUAAGAACCGUGUGGAGCUGGUGUUGGUAGGUUGUCUGACUCAGUCGCUCUGUUUUUUCCCCGACAUGACUGAGCUAAUUAAAAUGUCAAAACUUGAGUUCACAUUUGAAUCUUUAUUUUGUAAAAAUAUUUUCGAAAACAAAUCUGAUGCGCUGUCUGUUGGUUUUAAUUAGGCACUGCCAUGGCAGCUUCUAAUGCAGAUUUGCAUUUGUACGUAUAUAAUUCAAGCUAGGUCGUUAAAAACAUGUUUUCUUUACCGAGUUAGACAAUUAAUUUUAUGUUUAAACACAGCAUUUUUUCACUCCCAUUAUUCAAGCCCCGUUGUAAUCUAUAUUUUUAAAGCUAUAAAUGAAUAAGUUUAUGAACUAACAGUAGUUUGUAAUGAACCAACAAACUACUUGCACCCACCAUUUACUUGAAUUGGUAACCUACUGAAAAUCUGUACAUUUUGCAAAUGUAAUUUGUAGUUUUGAUUACAACUGUACAGAUAUACAGUAGGUAUUAUUUUCCGACAAUGCAGGUGGUUUCUUCUGUCAAGGUAACCUCUGGGGCCCAAAUAACUUCUUUAUACUGUGUGCAUAUAUAUCUGUAAGUAGCUACAUGUCAAUUUUGACAUAAAAGUUGUAUUUAUUGACUAAUUAGUAAUUACUGGUAAUAUAUGCUGAUUUCAGGUCACAGAUCAUGUAGUGGUUCACUUGCCUGACUCAUGCAGACCGUGUAGGUUCAGUGCUCACUGAAUCUUGAGUGUUCCUGGUUGUCUGUAUGUGCUCUGUGGUUAACUGGAUAGAUAUCAUGUCAUCUAUGUAUAGUUUUAGUGAAUAUGUGAGUUAAGUUACCAGUCAUAGCUCUUGGGACAGGAUUGUAGUCUGCUGUAUGAAUUGAAUUGAAGGUGUGUCUGUGUCAUUGUUCAUUUUCAGUAGUUGAUUUCCAGGUGAGGUUGGAUUUGGAUUUGGCGAAUGCAUGCUGACAGCAGACUCGAACCUGAUGCACCAAAUUUAAGGCACGUCUGUCACAUCUAUUAGUAUUUUUAAGUGCUUUAGCAGCAUUUAACUCCUUCACUGUACAUGGAAGUGCAGCCCGGGAGCGUCUAAAGACCUUCUAAUAAGGCAGACUGGCUGAUAUGCUCCUUAUCUCACUGCGAAACAUGAUCCUCUCAGUAACCUUUUAAGCUUUAAUCUGCAAGAAUAACAUGACACCAAACACAGCACACACCAUCCCCACUGGGCUCAAACAACUGACAUAAAGGAGUCCUCUGUGUUGAAUUGAUUACUGGAGCUUAUUCUCUCCAAAGUCUCCCCUACGCCCUUGCACACACAGACCAUUUUCUUGACACGACUAAUAUGCAGACAUUUUUUUUCCUGAAGCUUUUUGAUUGAAAAGCAGGAAGGGAAUGACAUUAUUUCAGUUAGCAGUGAGAUGAGCUCAUGGAAAGCCAGGACGAACUAAAGUCAACCUCCUGGAAUUCCUGUUAUCUUUGUGAAAGAUGACUAGAGGGACAUAAAUGAGUGGAGCUUUGUCUUGAAGUCAUGCAUUCAAUCAUGUUUUCUCAUACAGUUGUCACCUCUAGUAGGGCCCUUGACGCUUUGCAACCAUUUCUGAGUGUUUUUGAUCAAAUUUGACAUGCAGUUAUUAGAUGUUUACUUUGGGUCACAUCUCUUAAGAGUACAGUAAAAAUCAGAUGUCUUAGUGCUGCCCAUUGGAUCAUUCUUCCAUAUCUAAAUAGCAGAAUAGGUUCUUCUGCCAAACGCAUUGUCAAAAGGAAGCAAACAAACUUCUUUUUUUUCACAAAGAUGAUUAGUUAUCAGUAGUGAUUCUGUAUGAGUAAACCUAUUUUUAAUUACUUUAUAGAUCACAGGUGUCCAGUCUUGUUCUACUUAGGACGUAUACCAAAAAAAUCAAAGGGCACGGGCCAAUUUUAUAUUAAUAAAUUUGUACAUAUAAAUAAAAAAGGACCCAUUAAUUUUUAAAGAUAGAAGUUCUGCGGUCCCUUCCAAGUUUACACAUUGGUUCCACUGUGUUGAGUUCUUUCUUGUCCUGAUGUGGGAUCAGAGCCAAAGAUGUUGUGGUUUAUACAGCCCGUUGAGGCAUUUUGAUUGACUUUUCUGCCAUAAGCCGUCUCCAAAUGCGUUUCAGUAAAUUCAGCAGUACAACCAACUUGUCUCACAACUGCAGACCAGGUGUAACCACACCAGCCCAGGACUUGAUCAUCCAGCAGGUGCACCUCCAUGAUCUUCUGAGACCAGCCACCCGGGCAGCUGUCGCAACAAUUGGCCUCGACUGGACUGCAGUACGUUGUUUUAACCGACUUGAGUGGGUGAACGCUCACAUUCGAUGGCAUCUGGCAUUGUAAAAAAACGUGUUCUUCAUGGAUGAAUCCCAAUUUUCACUGUUACGGGCAAAUGGCCGACAGCGUGUGUGGUGUCAUGUGGGAGAGUGGUUUGCAGAUGGCAACGUUGUGAAUCUAGUGCCCCAAGCAUGACAAUGCACACCCCCAUGUUGCAAGGAUCUGUAAACAAUUACUGGAGGCUGAAAACAUCCCGGUUCUUGAAUGGCCAGCAUACUCACCGGACAUGUCAUCCAUUGAGCAUUAUUUGGAUGCUGUGGAUCGACGUAUGCAACGGCGUUUUUUUAGUUCCUGACAAUAUCCAGCAACUUUGCAUGGCAAUUGAAGGUGAGUGGACCAACAUUCCACAGGCCACAAUCAACAACCUGAUCAACUCUAUGCAAAGGAGAUGUGUUGCACUGAAUGAGGCAAACGGUGGUCACACCAGAUACUGACUGCUUUUGAAGCAAAACUGCACAUUUCAGCGUGCCUUUUUUUUUUAUUGUGGGCGGCCUAAGGCACACCUAUGCAAUAAUCAUGCUGUUUGAACAGCAUCUUGAUAUGCCACGCUUGUGAGUUGGGAUGGAUUAUUUUGGCAAAUAAGAAGUGCUCAUGACAGAUUCAUGAACAUUUUUUGAUAAGAAUAGGUAUUUUGUGUAUUAAGUAAAUGUUUAAGAUCUGUCAGUUCAACUCAUGUAAAAUAGGAGCAAACGCAAGUGCUGUGUUCAUUUUUUUUUUCAGUAUAGUUGUUGGCCUUGUGAAAAUAAACAGGACACGUAAUCACACAGAGUUUCCAAAUAACCGAACAUGCAUGUUUUUUAGAAUGUAGGAGGAAGCCAUACUUUAGUGGGUUUUCUGCAAAACCUGUGAAGUUAGCACGUUGGGUAAAUCAUGAAUAAAAAACAGAAUACAAUGAUUUGCAAGUCCCUUUUAACCUAUAUUUAAUUGAAUGCACUGUAAGGACAAUACACUCAACGUCUGAACUGAGAAACGUUAUGUUCUGUAAAUAAUUAGCUAAUUUAGAAUAAAGCCUGCAACAUGUUUCAAAAAAGCUGGCACAACUGGCAAAAAAAAAAAAAGAAAGUUGAGGAACGCUCAUCAAACACUUAUUUGGAACCGGCUAAUUGGGAACAGGUGGGUGCCAUGAUUGGGUAUGAAAGCUGCUUCCGUGAAAUGCUCAGGCAUUCACAAACAAGGGUGGGGCGAGGGUCACCACUUUGUGAACAAAUGUCUGAGCAAAUUGUCCAACAGUUAAAGAACAACAUUUCUCAAGUUAUUGCGAGGAAUUUAGGGGUUUCAUCAUCAAAAGGUUCAGAGAAUCCGCAGAAACCGCCGCACGUUAGGGUUGAUAUUACGGACCUUCGGUUCUUCAGGUGGUACUGCAUCAAAAAGUGACAUCAGUGUGUAAAGGGUAUCACCACAUGAGUUCAGGAACACUUCAUAAAACCACUGUCAGUAACUACAGUUCGUCGCUACAUCUGCAAGUGAAAGUUAAAACUCUACCAUGCAAAGCGAAACCCAUUUGUCAACAAACGCCGCCGGCUUGGCUGGGCCCGAGCUCAUAUAAGAUGGACUGAUGCAAAGUGGAAAAGUGUUCUGUGGUCUGAAGAGUCCACAUUUAAAAACAUUUUUGGAAACUCUGGACUCCGGACCAAAGAGAAAAAGAACCAUCUGGACUGUUUUAGGCGGAAAGUUGAAAAGCCAGCAGCUGUGAUGGUAUGGGGGUGUAUUAGUACCCAAGGUAUGGGUAACUUACACAUCUGUGAAGGCACCAUCAAUGCUGAAAGGUACAUACAGGUUUUGAAGCAACAUAUGUUGUCAUCCAAGCAACGUCUUUUUAUGGAUGUCCCGGCUUAUUUUAGCAAGACAAUGCCAAGCCGCAUUCCGCACAUGUUACAACAGCGUGGCUUCGUAGAAAGAGACUAGACUGGCAUGCCUGUAGUCCAGACCUGUCUCCCAUUGAAAAUGUGUGAUUCAUAAUGAAGCCUAAAAUAACAGGAGAUUGUUCAACAACUUAAGCUGUACAUCAAGCAAGAAUGGGAAGAAAUUCCACCUAAAAAACUUCCAAAAUUGGUCUCCUCAGUUCCCAAACAUUUACAAAGUGUUGUUAAAAGGAAAGCCCAUGCAACAUAGUGGUAAAAAUGCCCCCCUGCGCCAACUUUUUUGCAACGUCUUGCUGCCAUUAAAUUCAAAGUUAAUAAUUAUUUGCAAAAAAACUAUAUUUCUCAGUUCAAACAUGAAAUAUCUUGUCUUUGCAGUCUAUUCAAUUGAAUGUAAGUUGAAAAGGAUUAGCAAAUCAUUGUAUUCUGUGUGGGCUUCCCGGUGGAAGAGAGGUUAGUGCGUCUGCCUCACAAUACAAAAGUCCUGAGCAGUCCUGAGUUCAAUCCCGGGCUGGGGAUCUUUCUGUGUGGAGUUCGCAUGUCCUCUGAGUGAAUGCGUUGGUUCCUUUCGGGUACUCUGGCUUCCUCCCACAUCCAAAGACACGCACCUGGGGAUAGGUUAAUUGGCAACACUAAAUUGGCCCGAGUGUGUGAAUGUUGUCUGUCUUUCUGUGUUGGCCCUGCGGUGAGGUGGAGACUUGUCCACGGUGUACAAUGCCUUCCGCCCGAUUGUAGCUGAGAUAGGCACCAGCGCCACUCCAAAGGGAAUAAACGGUAGAAAAUGGAUGGAUGGAUGUAUACUGUUUUUGUCAUUGACACAACGCGCCAACUUCACUGGUUUUGAGUUUUGUAUGAGUACUUUGGAAAAAAGAUGUUCAAACAGACAUUGGAACCUGUGUUUUGAGGCUAACACGCUAAGCACUAAGCCACCGUGCGCUCCGGAAACCGUCAUAUCGUAUUUGGAAAUAUUGUCCACAUUCCAUACUACCGGCAGCUGUGUAGUUUCGGCUACAAUCCCGUCAAAUGUCAGGGAAAGACAUCAGCAUGUCCCAAUAGGGAAACGUUGUAUAUCCUGCUAAUACUUCCUGUCUGUUGGUGACAAAACUACAUUUAUACAUUUCAGUCGGUGCCUACCUAAAGCAAAUGUAUUAAUCUGUGAUUUGGAUGAGUACUUCCAUUUGACAUGUACUGCUCUUAGAAAUCACGGGAGUGGCUUCGAUUUGGAGCAAGCAUCAUCACGCCACACCUGGAAAACAUAUUGAAUAAGUUGCAUUCCGCUCGCUUGUAUCGCUGAUUAAUGGUUUUGUGUGCAUUCCCAGAUGUGAAAUAUCGAUAUCAAUUUUUUUGUGAUGCUCCUGACUGUCUCACAUGAAAGCAAAGUGCGAGUAGAACCAAGCAAAGAAUUGUGGUGACAGGUGAUGAGUCCGUAAGGGGUAAACACUCACGCUUUGUGCUCAUUUUUCUAUUUGGCUACUUAAACUGCAGGGUUUCUACAAACCACAGAGCAGGACGUGUGUGACGGUGCAUCAGCGGAGCUCCUGUUUGGGCCUGGGCGUUAAGCAAAUGGGAUAAUCAGGCUUUAGAGAGCCGAGUGCUUGUUAGUGACGCAGAGCUUUACGCUGCCAAAUGCAGCAUGGCUGCGGCACACCUUGGAACAACAGGCCACAGGUGUCUGUAAGGAAGAAAACCUGCUGGUAACCUAAUUGCAUGACAGAGACAGUGUGUCUAGGCCCAACAUGGCCAAUAGGAGGCGAUGUUGCAAUAUGUGUGCAAUGUUUUUUUCAUGGGUUUCCAUUGAGGUCUGUCUACUAAAAUCAACUUUACUGUUGCAAAAAAGGAUAAAAACAAAACGUUAUGUAUAGGUGACAGUGCGUAUUAACCAUUUUUAAGAGUUUACCAAUUUUCGGGGCGGCAUAGCUCGGUUGGUAGAGUGGCCGUGCCAGCAACUUGAGGGUUGCAGGUUCGAUUCCCGCUUCCGCCAUCCUAGUCACUGCCGUUGUGUCUUUGGGCAAGACACUUUACCCACCUGCUCCCAGUGCCCCCCACACUGGUUUAAAUG
Molecule: long non-coding RNA, 8381 nt
Organism: Nerophis ophidion (straightnose pipefish)
Lineage: Eukaryota; Metazoa; Chordata; Actinopteri; Syngnathiformes; Syngnathidae
Exons: 3
Source: RefSeq, a predicted model, not a curated record